GAUGAACGCUGGCGGCGUGCUUAACACAUGCAAGUCGAACGAUGAACCGGGUGCUUGCACUCGGGGAUUAGUGGCGAACGGGUGAGUAACACGUGAGCAACCUGCCCCUGACUCUGGGAUAAGCGCUGGAAACGGCGUCUAAUACUGGAUAUGUCCCGUCACCGCGUGGUGUGCGGGUGGAAAGAUUUUUCGGUUGGGGAUGGGCUCGGGGCCUAUCAGCUUGUUGGUGGGGGAAUGGCUCACCAAGGCGUCGACGGGUAGCCGGCCUGUGAGGGUGACCGGCCAGACUGGGACUGAGACACGGCCCAGACUCCUACGGGAGGCAGCAGUGGGGAAUAUUGCACAAUGGGCGGAAGCCUGAUGCAGCAACGCCGCGUGAGGGAUGACGGCCUUCGGGUUGUAAACCUCUUUUAGUAGGGAAGAAGCGAAAGUGACGGUACCUGCAGAAAAAGCACCGGCUAACUACGUGCCAGCCGCCGCCGUAA
RNAcentral lists this ribosomal RNA (485 nucleotides) under uncultured bacterium. RNAcentral describes it as "partial 16S ribosomal RNA". It matches the Rfam family "Bacterial small subunit ribosomal RNA", at positions 28 to 523 of the family's 1533-position model. The record is from RNAcentral.